AAAGAGCCACUAUUGCCAGCUCUGCUCCAUUUUUUUUCUGGCAGCCCCAGCGUCCAAUCAAGAUUUCUGGAUCUUUUCCAAUUAUAACACCAUUUGGAAAUACUCAGCAUUUUCCAGCCUUGAAUAAUGUAUUGAUCUCUUUAAAGUAGAAAAUAUUCUCACAGACCCCCAAUGUUGACUUCAAUUCUUUUUAUUGUAAUUUUACUUAAAUAUAUAUGCAAACAUAAAACACUACAAACUGUUAGGCUUAUAGCUUUUAGACAACUAUAAAAAUAAACUUACAGAACAGAUAUAAUAUAAACUACAAAACCAAUGAAAUGGAAACGAGCUACAUUAGCUUACCAGGACAGAGCAGAGAGUAUUCCCGAAGCUCCAUGCCUGCUCAGCUUGGGAGGCCAAUGUUUCUAAUUACUCUUGAGUUCUGAGCUCAGCAUUGUCAGAGGAU
RNAcentral lists this long non-coding RNA (445 nucleotides) under Homo sapiens (human). Its description in RNAcentral is "HSALNT0122600". Lineage: Eukaryota; Metazoa; Chordata; Mammalia; Primates; Hominidae. The record is from RNAcentral.